GAGGAAAAGAAACCAACAGGGAUUGCCCCAGUAAUGGCGAAUGAAGCGGCAAGAGCCCAAAUUUGAAAUCGGGCAACCGAGUUGUAAUUUGGAGACGGGACACUAGAGAGGAGGAAGGCGAUUAAGUGCCUUGGAACAGGCUGCCGUAGAGGGUGAGAGCCCCGUGAAUCGCUGGAGACCGAUCAAUUAGUGCCCGCCGAAGAGUCGAGUUGUUUGGGAAUGCAGCUCUAAGUGGGUGGUAUAUUCCAUCUAAGGCUAAAUAUUAGCGAGAGACCGAUAGCAAACAAGUACAGUGAUGGAAAGAUGAAAAGAACUUUGGAAAGAGAGUGAAAUAGUACGUGAAAUUGUUGAAAGGGAAGGGUAUUUGAUCCGACAUGGUGUUUAGCAGCGGCCCGUUCCUCGUGGAUGGGUGCACCUGGUUUACACUGGGCCAGCAUCGGUUCUGGGAGCCAUAUACGGGGUUCGUGAAUGUGGCCCUUCGAUUCUGUCGGAGGGUGUUAUAGCGCGGACAUCUUGUGGCUAGCCGGGACCGGGGACUGCGGUGACUUGUCACCAAGGAUGCUGGCAGAACGAGCAAAUACCACCCGUCUUG
RNAcentral lists this ribosomal RNA (592 nucleotides) under Brettanomyces bruxellensis. RNAcentral's name for it is "eukaryotic LSU rRNA". It matches the Rfam family "Eukaryotic large subunit ribosomal RNA", at positions 53 to 656 of the family's 3401-position model. Lineage: Eukaryota; Fungi; Ascomycota; Pichiomycetes; Pichiales; Pichiaceae. The record is from RNAcentral.